CCUGACUCUUUCUCCAUGUCUCCAAGGCUGACUGUGGUUUGUGCAAGAAUAAACUGCCUGAGCCUUCGCUGACAUCUGAGGCCUUGACUCGUAAGAUGCUGCCGUGAGCCCUAGGUCCUCCUCUCUGGGCUCUGCAUCGCUGCAGAGUGAGCACGAGCUCACUGGGAAAGGGCACCUUCCCGGCGGGUUCUUCAUUCUUUCCAGGGAAGGCACAGGGCCACCUUCGCUCCCAGAUCCAGAUCCACCAGGGACUGACUCCCGUGUGUCUGUGGAUGAACACUACACCAUUUGCUCCAUUUUCUGAGAAUUUCUCAGUGGAUGCUUUAAAAACCAAGGAUGAAUUCAGCAUCUCUAUUUUAUGUGGAAGCUGUUCUCAGCAUCAUUUGUUUUCUUACUUGGGUGGAAAAGAUAGCUGGGUAGGUGUUUUCCUCCCAGGGCCUUCUGAAGAGUUUAAAAACAGAGACUUUGGGUGUUGAAUGAAAGGUCCCUAUUCUUUCCUAAAAUACUCACAGAAUCCCAUGACUAAUAUAUAAAUAAAGAUUGUUGUAUUAGUCACCCAACAAUGAAAGAAGAAAUCCUCCCACUUCUCAAAUGCUUCCUUUCAGAGUAACCUCAAUGACCUGACUGAUUCAUGGAACUAAUUUGUAACAAUAAUAAAGAUGAAGCGGGACCCCAGACAAGCUUUCAGAACUCCUCCAAAGACCCUCACUGCCUCAUCCCGCUCUCCCGUUCCUCGGCCUGCAGCUGAUGCCUUUGAGGAAGCCCCUGUUUGUACUGACAGUGGCCCAGAAACCUCUUCCCCUUGCUCAGACAAUUGCCCAUGUGGCCGCUGCCAACUUGGGGCUUCCUGGACUUCACAAACUCAGGAGGUCUGAGCUCAGUGACACCCUGCAUCGCCCCUGCUCCCUGGGCUCCUGCCCUGAACCACAGCUCCCUGCUUGAUGAAGAAGGGUCAGCCACCUCAAGGUUCACUUCCGGGCAGAGGCCACAUCUGUUAGGAAAGAAAAUAGAUGAAAAGCAUAGUUAGCAAGUGCCUGCUGUUGGCCAGGCACCGAGCUAGGAGGUGUCUUAUUCCUGUGUCAUCUUAUUUCAUCAUGUAAAUGGCCCUGUGAGGCAGAGAUGGUUGUUUGAAUUAUACAGAAGGAGAAACACAGAGUCAGAAAGAUGAAGAAACUUGCUGAAGAUUGUAUUGUGUUCCAGUGGUCUCCAAACUGGGCCUCCCCUGCAGCUAGGUAAGAUCAUGUAAUGGAAUUCUGGCCAAUGGAAUAUGAGUGGAGUUAAUGUGGGUAACCUCCAUGAUGGGCAAAGAAACACCUCCCAGGAAAAAGUCUUGAUUUUUCCUCAUGUCUGCUGACUACAUAUCGACUCUUGAAUAGACUUGAGUAUCUGCUGUUGAAGGAUGCAGAGGCUCUGUCAGCCUGGGCCCCUGAGUGACUUCAUGGAGUAUACCAUCUCUCCAACUGGAUUUUAUCUUUCAGUGGUUCAGUUUUUCUCCACUGUUUCCACCAAAAUACCAUCAACAGUAAGGAAGAACAAUGUGGACCACCAGAAGGCUGGAGUGUUUUCUGAAGCUGCUCCUGCUUGGACUUUGGUUGGAAGUCGUGAUUGUCUGAGGGUUCAUGCUGGCGCUCCCCCAGUGAACCUAGCUCACCUACCCUCUGCUCUGGCUCUAGUCUCUCUUCCCUUCUUCUAAGGGAGGCUACUGCUGUGCUCAGUGCGGAGCUGGGUUCAAGGAGAGCUGGGGCUCUGAAGGAGUCGUGGGGAGAAGGCUGACAUGAGUCCUGAGUGAGUGGACCUGCUCUCUCUGGCCCUGAAGGGGUCAAGAGGCAACUGGGUGUGUGGGCUGAGUCUUUCCUGGCCCUGAAGCUGGAAGUAGAGGCUUUGUGCAGGAUCCUCAGCAGGGGACUAAAAGCCUGUGCUUUCAUAACCCGAGCCACACUGGCAAGUGCGCUGCCUCCUCCCACCUUUGAGACAGUUGCCUUCAGGAGCACAUCUACCAGAAGCCAACAAAGAAAAGCAACAGCCUCUUGGAGGGGCCUUUCUCCAGGGAGAGAAGGGUGAGGCAGCACAGGCAGAGCUGGUGUAGGAGACACAAGACAGUAUGAAUUUCAAAAUCAGAGCAUUGAAGGAGAUUCAAAUAUGGCACAAAAAGAGUUUCUGGAGCUAAAAAUCAUAAUUUCCUAACUAAAUACCAUUCAGUAGAUUAACUGAAAAAGUGGAAGAUCACCGUGAAGAUAUGGUCAGCUCUCCUGGAGGGUCAAAGGGCAGACAGACCCCUUGAUGAAAAGGGUGGUAUAGAGCAAAUGUAGAAAGAGAUGGGAAGCAAGUAGAAAUGGGUAAGGAACAUGGGAUGGAUCCUAAAACCUUGACUUGUGAAUAGAGAAACCUUGACUUGCAGAAAGAGGAAAAAAUAGAACCAACGGAGGAGAGGUGACCAUGAUACUAACAAUAAAAGAAAACUUCCCUGAACUGAAGCAAACCUGAGCCUCUGUUUUUUUUGUUUUCAAAUUUAAUACACUAUUUUUAAGAGAAGUUUUAGAUUCACAACAAAAUCAAGCAGAAAAUAAAGAAUUCCCAUGUGCCCACCCUCCAUAGCUUCCCACCCUCCUUCCCACCCUCCAUAGCUUCCCACCCUCCUUCCCACCCUCCAUAGCUUCCCACCCUCCUUUCCACCCUCCAUAGCUUCCCAAACUAUCAACAUUUCUCACCAGCAUGAUACAUUUGUUAUAAUUGAUGAGCCUACAUUAACACAUCAUUAUCAAAGUUCCUUUACCCAGGGUUCCCUCUUGUUGUACGUUCUAUGUGGGUUUUAAGGAAUGUAUCCACCAUUAUAGUACCAUACAGAGUAGUUUCACUGCCCUAAAAAUCCCCUGCCCUCCCCCUACUCAGCCCUUCCUCCCCAGGUCCCUGGAAACCACUGAUCUUUUCACCAUCUCUAUAGCUUUGCCUUUUCCAGAGUGUCAUAUAGGUGGGACCACUCAGCAUGUAGCCUUUUCAGAUUGGCUUCUUUCACUUAGUAAUGUGCAUUUAAGGUUCUUCCACGUCUUUUUGGUGACUUGAUGGCUCAUUUCUGUU
Molecule: long non-coding RNA, 3075 nt
Filed under: Homo sapiens (human)
Lineage: Eukaryota; Metazoa; Chordata; Mammalia; Primates; Hominidae
Description: HSALNT0115950
Source: RNAcentral